UACGUAGGGGGCUAGCGUUGUUCGGAAUCAUUGGGCGUAAAGAGCGUGUAGGCGGUCCUGUAAGUCUGCUGUGAAAGCCGGGGCUCAACCCUCGAAUGCCGGUGGAUACUGUCGGGCUAGAGUGCGGGAGAGGCGAGUGGAAUUCCUGGUGUAGCGGUGAAAUGCGCAGAUAUCAGGAGGAACACCUGUUGCGAAGGCAGCUCGCUGGGACGUAACUGACGCUGAGACGCGAAAGCGUGGGGAGCAAACAGG
RNAcentral lists this ribosomal RNA (252 nucleotides) under uncultured bacterium. RNAcentral's name for it is "partial 16S ribosomal RNA". It matches the Rfam family "Bacterial small subunit ribosomal RNA", at positions 524 to 776 of the family's 1533-position model. The record is from RNAcentral.